RNAcentral lists this long non-coding RNA (1034 nucleotides) under Astyanax mexicanus (Mexican tetra). Its description in RNAcentral is "lncRNA (ENSAMXG00005006746.1)". The record is from RNAcentral. Lineage: Eukaryota; Metazoa; Chordata; Actinopteri; Characiformes; Acestrorhamphidae.
AAAGCAUAUUAACAAAUAAAAUGCUCUCUCUGGUGUUCUCUAGACCAAAAUAGGAAUCUUUUGGAUUCAUUCUGAUCGCAAUAAAUCAAUAAAGUCAAAGUUAAUGUAAGAAACCAGAUUUUAUACCUUUUUUAAUUAUUAUUCAGCAAUUUAGCGACAUCCCAAGCAGGGAAAAUGUGAGAAGGCUUACGCAAGUGGUCUAAAUCCUCUUAUCUGCACUGCAAGCAUAUCGUUCAUCAUGCUCAUUCUUCUCACACUCUUACCUCUGGCUAGCCUUUGUUUCCAGAAUAGGGUCCAUUCCUUCUGAGCUUUCCCCCUAUUAGCACACGGAUGCCAAACCUUGCUUAAUGCGUUACAUCGUAUGAAUGUGAUGUGUUCUUGCAGAGGGAAGAUUUUUCAUUGCUGUGGGCCUUAUUGUAAGCCUGAUUGCCACAGGAUCUCUGGAAAUAGGUGUUCUCUACAGGCCCAGCUCUCCAGAUCUAAGUCUCUACAAGCCUCACUGGAGUCCAUCAUCUGCGGCAUCUGCAUGAAGGACGGGCCCUCAGCCCACUGCACUGCAGUUUAUAAUGUGAGUCUAUAAGCCUUGACCUUUCUUCCUGCUACUUUUUGCAUCAGUUAACAUUAAGCCAUAUGGCAGCCUUGACCUCAUGUAUCUGUCUGUUGUACAAAAGGCCACACAGAAGCAGUUUCAUCCUACAGGGAAGGUAACGCAGUUAAGCGCUGAAUGAAUGUAGCGUGCCAUAACUGUGCCCUUCUCUCUGCCUGCGUUUGAUUAAGGAGACUGGAGAUCUGCUGUGUUCACCUUUUGAAUGUGAAGAAUGACCUGCUGACUGACCUCAAACAGGCGAGUGAAGCUCACUUAAACAUCACUGUUCACAUUCUGAAAUAAUGAAUAGAUAAUUUACACAUUUAAAACUUGAGACGAAGGAUUAUUUGAAUGUUUCCAUGAAGGAUCGUUGAGGAAACUUUAAAUCAAAGAAGAAUCUUUACAUUCGUUAUUGAAACAAGUGUGUUUCUUCUGUGGUAUCAAGCAU